Molecule: long non-coding RNA, 933 nt
Filed under: Rattus norvegicus (Norway rat)
Lineage: Eukaryota; Metazoa; Chordata; Mammalia; Rodentia; Muridae
Description: long non-coding RNA NONRATT024981
Source: RNAcentral
GGAGACAAUAAUUUGGUAUAAAAGUCAAUUUAUAAAUACAAGUGCUCAGUGUCCUCAAUUUAAUCCUUAAGGACUUAUCUUAAUAAAUAAUAUUUUAACAAUAUUUUAAUAAAUAAAAAGGGGAGUUAUCCCUGUAUGCUAAAAUAUGCUCCUUUUAUUUCAAUUUUAAAAUUUGGAUGCCAAGGAACACUCUGAGUUUAUGGCACCCUACAGCUAGGCAUACUUCUGCCUAGGUGAAAUAGAAAGAUCCACAUAUUGGCAUGAUCCUGUUCAGAUAUUUUAUAUGGGGAAGAGGGAAUCUUUGUGUUUUUUCUACAGGAUGCUACAGGAGUGUGCCAGCUGCCCGAGUGGCUGGUGAGACUUGCUGAUCCUGGGAGCAUGAAGAUUCAGCUCUCCUGGUUCGGGUACCUGGAGUCAUUCCUGUGUCCUUGGAGGAAUAUGGAGGAUUCCCACUCAUCUUUUGUCAUCACAGAAAUUCUGGCGUUGCUGCAGUCAUUGUGUCCCGUCCCACCACGGCCUGCGCUCCGACCCUCUGUGCACUGUUGCUUGGUGGAAGCUGCUGUGGACUGGGGAACUCUGCCCUGGUUUUGCAGAUCUCAGACAUGGUUCCAUUGCCUGCUGGUUGUUCCAGAGAAGAAUGACCGAUCCUGAACUGUCCUGGGAAAGACCUUGGCAUUUUCGCUGCUAUUGUAGCAGCCAUUACUGCUGCAGCCAUUGUGUCUGCAGUGUCUGGAGCUACCCUCCCCCAAUCUAUUGUUAGGCAAGCACAGUGGGUGAACUUUCUGGAGUAGUUGCUAACAAUUGGGAAUUCUAAAUUUUUUUACAGGAGAGGCUUGACUAGGUCCUUGGUGGUAUGGCCAUAGCAGCUGAGGAGAACCAGAUGAGGUGCCCACUACUUAUCGGGAGAGGCUCAAUUUCCACAAUCUCUUAUAU